RNAcentral lists this ribosomal RNA (474 nucleotides) under uncultured bacterium. RNAcentral describes it as "bacterial SSU rRNA". It matches the Rfam family "Bacterial small subunit ribosomal RNA", at positions 25 to 518 of the family's 1533-position model. The record is from RNAcentral.
CAGGACGAACGCUGGCGGCGUGCUUCAUACAUGCAAGUCGAACGAUAAGGUCUCUUCGGAGAUACAUAAGUGGCGGACGGGUGAGUAGAAUGUAGAGAAUCUGCCCUAGAGAGGGGGACAACAGAGGGAAACUUCUGCUAAUACCCCAUAUGAGCGUAGCUGAGAUGCUAUUCUUGAAAACUCCGGUGCUCUGGGAUGAGUCUGCAUCUGAUUAGCUAGUUGGGGGUGUAAUGGACCACCAAGGCGACGAUCAGUAGCUGGUUUGAGAGGAUGAUCAGCCACAAUGGGACUGAGACACGGCCCAUACUCCUACGGGAGGCAGCAGUAGGGAAUUUUGCGCAGUGGGGGAAACCCUGAACCGCAGCAACGCCGCGUGACCGAUGAAGCCCUUCGGGGUGUAAAGGUCUGUCAGUGGGGACGAAACUUGACGGUACCCACAGAGGAAGCAUCGGCUAACUCCGUGCCAGCCGCCGC